AGCUAGCUUUGCAAUAUGGCGGCCGAGGUGGAUGGACCGCUUAAACGGCUGCUCGUGCCGAUUCUUUUACCUGAGAAAUGCUACGACCAACUUUUCGUUCAGUGGGACUUGCUUCACGUCCCCUGCCUCAAGAUUCUCCUCAGCAAAGGCCUGGGGCUGGGCAUUGUGGCUGGCUCACUUCUAGUAAAGCUGCCCCAGGUGUUUAAAAUCCUGGGAGCCAAGAGUGCCGAAGGGUUGAGUCUCCAGUCUGUAAUGCUGGAGCUAGUGGCAUUGACUGGGACCAUGGUCUACAGCAUCACUAACAACUUCCCAUUCAGGCCCGCCUUUCUUCCUCCCAACUCUUGACUCUGCAGCUCUUGGGGUGAAGCCUUAUUCCUGAUGCUCCAGACGAUCACCAUCUGCUUCCUGGUCAUGCAUUACAGAGGACAGACUGUGAAAGGUGCUGGGGACUUACCCAAGAGCAGGCUGUGUGGUUCCUGGGAACCCUGCUGGGAACUCAGGCCUGGGAAAGCCAAAUGAUGUGGGGAGAUUGACAAGGACUCCUGUCUCCCCACCCCUAGGUGUCGCUUUCCUCGCUUGCUACGGCCUGGUCCUUCUGGUGCUUCUCUCACCUCUGACGCCCUUGACUGUAGUCACCCUGCUCCAGGCCUCCAAUGUGCCUGCUGUGGUGGUGGGGAGGGUGGGUACCAGGAGCAAGGGACAAGAUGUUGGGGGGGCAGGGUGGAGGGGAAGAGUGGAAGAUCAAAGUGUGGGGGUGUUGGACUUGGGGGAGCAUGGGAAGAGCUCAGGUGACAGAGCCAAAGGUCUCAACUCCUCCCCUAGCUUCUCCAGGCAGCCACCAACUACCACAAUGGGCACACAGG
RNAcentral lists this small RNA (863 nucleotides) under Pongo abelii (Sumatran orangutan). Its description in RNAcentral is "retained intron". The record is from RNAcentral. Lineage: Eukaryota; Metazoa; Chordata; Mammalia; Primates; Hominidae.